GCCAGGCAUGGUGGCACACGCCUGUAAUCCCAGCAGCUCGGGAGGCUGAGGCAGGAGGAUCAUGAGUUCAAAGCCAGCCUCAGCAAUGGUGAGGUGCUAAGCAACUCAGUGAGACCCUGUCUCUA
Molecule: small RNA, 125 nt
Filed under: Marmota monax (woodchuck)
Lineage: Eukaryota; Metazoa; Chordata; Mammalia; Rodentia; Sciuridae
Source: RNAcentral